AGAGUUUGAUCAUGGCUCAGAGCGAACGCUGGCGGCAGGCUUAACACAUGCAAGUCGAGCGGGCGUAGCAAUACGUCAGCGGCAGACGGGUGAGUAACGCGUGGGAACAUACCUUUUGGUUCGGAACAACACAGGGAAACUUGUGCUAAUACCGGAUAAGCCCUUACGGGGAAAGAUUUAUCGCCGAAAGAUUGGCCCGCGUCUGAUUAGCUAGUUGGUGAGGUAACGGCUCACCAAGGCGACGAUCAGUAGCUGGUCUGAGAGGAUGAUCAGCCACAUUGGGACUGAGACACGGCCCAAACUCCUACGGGAGGCAGCAGUGGGGAAUAUUGGACAAUGGGCGCAAGCCUGAUCCAGCCAUGCCGCGUGAGUGAUGAAGGCCCUAGGGUUGUAAAGCUCUUUUGUGCGGGAAGAUAAUGACGGUACCGCAAGAAUAAGCCCCGGCUAACUUCGUGCCAGCAGCCGCGGUAAUACGAAGGGGGCUAGCGUUGCUCGGAAUCACUGGGCGUAAAGGGUGCGUAGGCGGGCCUUUAAGUCAGGGGUGAAAUCCUGGAGCUCAACUCCAGAACUGCCUUUGAUACUGAGGAUCUUGAGUUCGGGAGAGGUGAGUGGAACUGCGAGUGUAGAGGUGAAAUUCGUAGAUAUUCGCAAGAACACCAGUGGCGAAGGCGGCUCACUGGCCCGAUACUGACGCUGAGGCACGAAAGCGUGGGGAGCAAACAGGAUUAGAUACCCUAGUAGUCC
RNAcentral lists this ribosomal RNA (744 nucleotides) under uncultured bacterium. RNAcentral describes it as "bacterial SSU rRNA". It matches the Rfam family "Bacterial small subunit ribosomal RNA", at positions 8 to 796 of the family's 1533-position model. The record is from RNAcentral.